GUCUAUUUGGAGAUAUAAAAAGUUUAACCUGCCCACUGAUUAAUAGAUAUUAAAUGGCCGCGGUAUUUUGACCGUGCAAAGGUAGCAUAAUCGUUAGUUUUUUAAUUGGAAUCUUGUAUGAAUGGUUGGACAAAAGAAAAUCUGUCUCUAUAUUAUUUAUCGAAUUUAACUUUUAAGUGAAAAGGCUUAAAUAAAUUAAAAAGACGAUAAGACCCUAUAAAGCUUAAUAUUAAUAAUAACUUAGUUAAAUUUUCGUCUAUAAAAACUUAGUUAUUAAAUUUAUUUUAUUGGGGCGAUAAAAGUAAAAUUACUAAUAACUGCUUAAUUUUUAAUACACUUAUAGGUGUCUAUGUUUUUAAAUGAUCCUAAUAUAAAGAUUAAAAGUUUAAGUUACUUUAGGGAUAACAGCGUUAUUUUUCUUAAGAGUACUUAUCGAAAGAAAAGUUUGCGACCUCGAUGUUGAAUUAAAAUACCUUUAUAAUUGUAGCAGUUAUACAAGUAGGUCUGUUCGACCUUUAAAAUUUUACAUGAUUUGAGUUCAAACCGGCGUAAG
Molecule: ribosomal RNA, 553 nt
Filed under: Hemigrapsus oregonensis
Lineage: Eukaryota; Metazoa; Arthropoda; Malacostraca; Decapoda; Varunidae
Description: partial 16S ribosomal RNA
Rfam family: Bacterial large subunit ribosomal RNA
Source: RNAcentral